Molecule: ribosomal RNA, 312 nt
Filed under: uncultured bacterium
Lineage: Bacteria
Description: bacterial SSU rRNA
Rfam family: Bacterial small subunit ribosomal RNA
Source: RNAcentral
GGGGCUUCGGCUCUCGCUAUUGGAUGGGCCGUGCGUGAGAUUAGCUAGUUGGUGAGGUAAUGGCUCACCAAGGCGACGAUCUCUAGCUGGUCUGAGAGGAUGAUCAGCCACACUGGGACUGAGACACGGCCCAGACUCCUACGGAGGCAGCAGUGGGGAAUAUUGCACAAUGGGCGCAAGCCUGAUGCAGCCAUGCCGCGUGUGUGAAGAAGGCUUUCGGGUUGUAAAGCACUUUCAGUGGGAGGAAGGCCUCGUAGUUAAUAGCUGCGAGGAUUGACGUUACCCACAGAAGAAGCACCGGCUAACUCCGUG